Molecule: long non-coding RNA, 1034 nt
Filed under: Pongo abelii (Sumatran orangutan)
Lineage: Eukaryota; Metazoa; Chordata; Mammalia; Primates; Hominidae
Description: lincRNA
Source: RNAcentral
AUAGAGGUGUUUGGGGUGUCAGCUCUGAAAUGCUAAAAAUAAAACCAGGCUUUCCAUCCUGGGAUGUCUCAUUAGUGUGCUUACAAAUGAGUCCCCCUGCAGUUUUUCAGCAAUUGGCUAACAAGCUCUAAUUUGAGCGUUUGGGCUGGACCUUGGCUCAGCGGGAGCAGACGCGGAGCAGAUGUCUUCUCGGAGCUGCCUGUUUGGGGAAGCUGGUCAGUUUCCACCCUCUCUCAGCAUCCCAGAACAGGGAAGCUGCAGGAAGGUUGAAAAAAGCACAGCAAAGCAGGGAGAGCCUCCUCUGUGGAGAGCAACGCCCAGUCCUUCUAGGUCAUGUGGAGUGGGCCAGCUUUAACGAACCUGUCCUAAAAGGAAGGAAGAGAAAGAGCUCAGCUCCUUAGGGGAACGAGGUGGACCUUGGCAGCUGUCUCACUCCUCACCAGCUCUUCACCUCAGAUCUUGUCCUGACUUCCUGGUCCGCUAAUGGCCUCCUGGAUAGAAGAGUCGGCUCACCAGCCCAGGAGAUGUUCUGAAAAUUGACAAUGAUCAUGAUAUACCCUGGGUCCAGAAUACUUCUCUAUACGAUGGGCAGAGAACAAAGAUUGGCAGCUUCCUCCUGAGCACACUGGGAUGUGACAUGACAUCGGGGCUGCCGAGCGCCCUUACCUUCAGCUACCCAGACGCAGAGGCAAUUCCACAAGGUACUGGCACAAGAAGAGUCAUGGAAGACUGACCUGGCCAUGGCUUCUCAUCUCCCAGCUCAGGACCUGCCACAUCAAUUCCCCCUUUCCUCUGGCCGUCAUGUGUGGAGUGAAAUUCUCAGAAGUGGCUGUCCCUGCGCACCUCUCUGGCUGUGUCCAGAAAAUGAACAUCUGUUUACAGCUUCAAUUUUCUAAUGAUUAGAAUGCCACAAACAAAGAAAACCCAGAGGAAAGCUGUUGAUGCUGAAAUAUUUCCUUCCUUUACAUAUUCCAUGAUGCAUCGUGUGGGGUUAUGCAAAUAGUAAUAUCUCAUUAAACAUUCUGGUCUCUUGG